This 354-nucleotide transfer-messenger RNA is filed under the name Acutalibacteraceae. Its description in RNAcentral is "UBA1213 sp002350705 Standard tmRNA". It matches the Rfam family "transfer-messenger RNA". From Rfam's summary of the family: Bacterial tmRNA, also known as 10Sa RNA or SsrA, is named for its dual tRNA and mRNA-like properties. Its role is to liberate the mRNA from a stalled ribosome. The record is from RNAcentral. Lineage: Bacteria; Bacillati; Bacillota; Clostridia; Eubacteriales. RNAcentral also lists the same sequence under 1 other name.
GGGGGCGUAAAGGUUUCGACAGGGAGUGUGAACUUCGGCAAGCGAGCAGCGGCUCUGCAGAACCGCUAUAAAAUCCGCAGAUCUUUAAAAUUAAACGACAACAAUAAAACUGUUGCCCUCGCUGCUUAAUUAGCGAGCGUUCCCUUUAAGAGUACCACGGCUUGAAGGGGGCGUCGAUGAGUGGUGAACGUGAACGGGAAAGCGUCUCGGUUUCCGUCAUGACACAGAGACUACCGAAGCAUAAAGCCUGCCAACAGGCGUUAUGAUGGGGGAAUCUCAAAAUAUUGGCUACGCUCGUAGAAAACCGUUGCAAGUGCUUUUUGGACAGGAGUUCAAUUCUCCUCGCCUCCACCA